CCUACGGGAGGCAGCAGUGGGGGAUAUUGCACAAUGGGGGGAACCCUGAUGCAGCGACGCCGCGUGGGUGAAGAAGCGCCUCGGCGCGUAAAGCCCUGUCAGCAGGGAAGAAAAUGACGGUACCUGAAGAAGAAGCCCCGGCUAACUACGUGCCAGCAGCCGCGGGAAUACGUAGGGGGCAAGCGUUAUCCGGAUUUACUGGGCGUAAAGGGGGCGUAGUCGGGGAUGCAAGCGAGGAGUGAAAGCCCGGGGCCCAACCCCGGGACUGCUCUUGGAACUGCGUGGCUGGAGUGCAGGAGGGGCAGGCGGAAUGCCUGGUGUAGCGGUGAAAUGCGUAGAUAUCAGGAAGAACACCGGUGGCGAAGGCGGCCUGCUGGACUGCAACUGACGUUGAGGCCCGAAAGCGUGGGGAGCAAACAGGAUUAGAUACCCGAGUAGUC
RNAcentral lists this ribosomal RNA (440 nucleotides) under uncultured bacterium. Its description in RNAcentral is "partial 16S ribosomal RNA". It matches the Rfam family "Bacterial small subunit ribosomal RNA", at positions 338 to 795 of the family's 1533-position model. The record is from RNAcentral.